AGAAGUAGAUAGAACUCCAUAGACCCAUUACUCAAAUUCAGUGCUUAUCACCUUAUGACCAAUUUUGAUUCUUCUCAUAAUGCACACACUGAGAAUCCUUACAACCCACAGAGAUUAGCAAUCACUGCCCUUACUGGUUAAGAAUAUGGCCUCUACAACCAGAUCUCAUCCAGGCUCAGUCAUUUCAUAGCUGUGCCAUCUUGGGCAAGAGACUGACCUCUCUGUGUCUCAAUUUUCUCAUCUGUAAAAUGAAGAUAAGAAAUAGUACUUCACUGGGUGAGGAGAAUCGAUGAAACUCCUACAGUACCUGGAACAGUCACUGGUAUAUACUCAGUGCCCAAUAAGUACUAUUAAGAACAAAGGUGAGGGAGGAUCAGCUCAGCUCAUAUUCAGUGUCAGCAGCAUGUCAGGGCAGGCUGUGUUCCCAGCAAGCUGCCCACAGUCUUUUCUUCAGGGAUAGGCCCAUUCCUUUGAGGAGGAGGAGGCCCUACCCUACUGGAGCCGAAGGUUUCCAGUUACUCUUCUGAACCUUUUUUGUUCUUGAUCUGCCCCCUGCAGCCCCUGCCUGCCCAGAGAGGACUGCCUGGUGGGCAAAGAGAGGACUCCCGGGUUCCUGACAGUCCAGCUUCAGAUCUGCCUUCUGAGAUAUCCUUCUUUAGGGAUACCAGGGAAAAUGGCCACAGGGUGCCGGAAAGCCAGGGUAAUGGCACACAUGGCAUUCAGAGAUGUGGCUGUGGAUUUCAGCCAGGAAGAGUGGAUGCUGCUGAGCCCCGCUCAAGAUCCCUGUACAGGGAGGUGAUGCUGGAGAAACUACAGGCAACCUGGUCUCACUGGUGUAAGCCCUGGAAUCUCUAAUGGACUCAUGUCCCUGCUGCGGGGCAUUUUAGGCUGUGCUUGAAGCAGCCAUCUUGCUUUCCUGAGUUGGCCCUUGUGCCCCUAACCUACAGCCACCUUGUUUUUUCUUUUCCUGUGAGCAGGAAUUCCAUUUUCUAAGCCAAAACUUAUCAGCCAGCUGGAGCAAGGGAAGGAAACCUGGAGAGAGGAGAGAACAUGCCCACCAGCCGCCCGUCCAGGUGAGUGGGGAGUGCUAGGCAAACGGAGAGAACAGAGCUGCAGGCAGCUUGGGCGUGGGAGACAGGAGGCAUUGCCCUGGUGCUAGAGAGCAGCUGUUCUCACCUCCCGUGCUGUGGUUGGCGUUGCCUGGCAUGGCCUCCCUUCUAGACCUUCAUCCUCACCUAAGGGCAGGGCUCUCCUGGUGUCUCUCAUCUCCUUCUGCCACUAGAAGUCUUUCUUCCUCCCACUGGGUUUGCCCUCUUUCCCUCACUCAGAUCUCUUCCGUAGGCAUGGGCUUCUUUUUUUUGCUUUUCUUUUUAAAGAUUUCAUUUAUUUGAGAGAGAGAGUAGAGAGAUAGCAAGUGAGAGAGAGAGAGAGAGAGGGAACACAAGCAGGGGGAUCAGCAGGCAGAGAGAGAAGGAGC
This 1477-nucleotide long non-coding RNA is filed under the name Zalophus californianus (California sea lion). RNAcentral describes it as "lncRNA (ENSZCAG00015008468.1)". Lineage: Eukaryota; Metazoa; Chordata; Mammalia; Carnivora; Otariidae. The record is from RNAcentral.